Molecule: long non-coding RNA, 365 nt
Filed under: Manacus vitellinus (golden-collared manakin)
Lineage: Eukaryota; Metazoa; Chordata; Aves; Passeriformes; Pipridae
Description: lncRNA (ENSMVIG00005017317.1)
Source: RNAcentral
GCCUAUUUUACCAUUGCGGACGAGAUAGGCAGAAAAAGGAGCGUUUGACUUGGAGUCUGCCCCUGAUUUUAGUCCAAAGGAGCUGCUCUUUGAAAUGGCGUGUCCAGCUUUGGCGUUUGCCUGCUGAGGAAGAGGCCUGCUCUCUUCUCCACUCUUGGUACAAGGAUUUUUCUCUCUCCAAGUAAUUCCUCAGCAUUGCCUUGAAAGACAUCUGCCACACGUGAGCAUCCUCCACAAUCUCUAAGAUACUUUUGUUGUUUUUCUUCUUUGAACAUUUGUUUUUUUGAGAUGACAUUGACAGACAUGAGGCCUAAGUCUGGAGAUGUUCUGUGGGUAGAACUCACAUUUAUUUCAGUAUGUCGAGC